RNAcentral lists this ribosomal RNA (3578 nucleotides) under Bacillota bacterium. Its description in RNAcentral is "23S ribosomal RNA". It matches the Rfam family "Bacterial large subunit ribosomal RNA". The record is from RNAcentral. Lineage: Bacteria; Bacillati; Bacillota.
AGGUCAAGCGAAAAAGGGCGCACGGUGGAUGCCUUGGCGCCGGGUGGCGACGAAGGGCGCAGCGAGCUGCGAAAAGCCUCGGGUAGCCGCAAGCAGGCGUAGAUCCGGGGAUACCCGAAUGGGGGAACCCAUCACAGGUAAUACUGUGAUAUCCUGUACCGAACACAUAGGUAUAGGAGGCGAUACCGGGGGAACUGAAACAUCUAAGUACCCCGAGGAGAAGAAAGAAACCUCGAUUCCCUAAGUAGCGGCGAGCGAACGGGGAAGAGCCCAAACCCUGCAUGAGUAAUAGGCUGCAUCCGUUUCAUGCAGGGGGUUGUGGGGUUAUCAGCGGAUAGGAUGCAGACUAUCCGCCGCGGAAGCCGACAGUUAGUAGAAGGUGUCUGGAACGGCCCACCAUAGAGGGUAACAGUCCCGUAUACGAAAACUAGAGGCAGCGGUAAGAUAGCCCCGAGUACCACGGAGCACGAGAAACCCUGUGGGAAUCCGGGAGGCCCACCUCCCAAGGCUAAAUACAACCCGGCGACCGAUAGAGAACAAGUACCGUGAGGGAAAGGUGAAAAGCACCCCGGUGAGGGGAGUGAAACAGAACCUGAAACCGUGUGUCUACAAGCAGUGGGAGCCCUGACUAGAAGCUAGAAGCUAGAAGCUAGAGGAGCGAAUCUAGAUUCUAGUUUCCAGCAUCUAGCUUCUAAGGGGCGACCGCGUACUUUUUGUAGAACGGACCGGCGAGUUGCGGUAUCUAGCGAGGUUAAGGUGCAGAGCACCGGAGCCGAAGCGAAAGCGAGUCCUAACAGGGCGUAUAGUUAGGUAUCGCAGACCCGAAACCGGGUGAUCUACCCAUGGCCAGGGUGAAGCGGAAGUAAAGUUUCGUGGAGGCCCGAACCGUGUUGACGUUGAAAAGUCAUGGGAUGAGCUGUGGGUAGGGGUGAAAUGCCAAUCGAACCCGGAGAUAGCUGGUUCUCCCCGAAAUAGCUUUAGGGCUAGCCUCAACAGAGAGAGUGAUGGAGGUAGAGCACUGAAUGGGCUAGGGGCCCGACAAGGUUACCGAACCCUAUCAAACUCCGAAUGCCAUCACUUGUUAGUUGGGAGUCAGACUAUGGGAGAUAAGUUUCAUAGUCGAGAGGGAAACAGCCCAGACCGUCAGCUAAGGUCCCCAAGUAUAGGCUAAGUGGCAAAGGAUGUGGGAUUGCCCAGACAACCAGGAUGUUGGCUUAGAAGCAGCCAUUCAUUUAAAGAGUGCGUAAUAGCUCACUGGUCAAGUGAUCCUGCGCCGAAAAUGUAGCGGGGCUCAAGCCUAUCACCGAAGCUGCGGGUACUAGAAGCUAGAUGCUAGAGGCUAGAAACUAGAACAAAAAGGAGAGGCAAGGUUUGAUACGAUCAUACAAAGAUUUAAGUGUAUAUCAAAUAUCGUAUGAAUUAGCCUUACAACUCCACCGGAAGACGUUGACACUUCCUGAAUUUGAGAAAUACGAAUUAGGUCAGCAGAUAAGAAGAGCUACCAAAUCCAUUCCAUUAAACAUAGGAGAAGGAUACGGCAGGAGAACAGCCAAAGAAUUCAAGCAUUUUCUAAGAAAUGCAUUAGGGUCCUGUGAUGAGGUAGCCAUAUUACUGAGAUUUAUUAAAGACUUAGGAUAUAUAACAGACGCUGAAUAUAACCAUUAUGCUGACCAGUAUGACCAAUUAGGGAAGCAGCUAACAAAUCUAAUUCAGAGAUGGAAGGAGUUCUAGCACUCUAGUUUCCAGCAUCUAGCUUCCAGUACGGUAGGGGAGCGUUGUAUAGCCGUCGAAGUCAGACCGAAAGGGCUGGUGGAGGGUAUACAAGAGCGAAUGCCGGUAUAAGUAGCGAGAGGCAGGUGAGAAACCUGCCCGCCGGAAGCCUAAGGUUUCCUGAGGAAGGUUUGUCCUCUCAGGGUAAGCCGGGGCCUAAGCCGAGGCGUAGAGCGUAGGCGAUGGACAAUCGGUUGAGAAUCCGAUGCCACCUACUAACCGCAACGAGCGAAGGGGUGACACAGGAGGGUAGGUCAAGCGUGUGAUUGGUGGUACACGUCCAAGCCAUUAGGGAGCGGGGGCAGGCAAAUCCGUCUCCGUGCAAAUCCUGAGUGGUGAUGGGGAGUGAAAAUUAAAGUAGCGAAGUGACCGAUCCCAUACUGUUUAAAAAAGCCUCUAGCCAGGUUAGGGGUGCCCGUACCGCAAACCGACACAGGUAGGCAGGGAGAGAAUCCCGAGGCGACCGGGAGAACCCUCGUUAAGGAACUCGGCAAACUGACCCCGUAACUUCGGGAGAAGGGGUGCCCGAGUAGCGUAUGGUAUAACUAUAUGCGAAAGGGCCGCAGAGAAUAGGCCCAAGCGACUGUUUAGCAAAAACACAGGUCUCUGCCAAGGAGAAAUCCGACGUAUAGGGGCUGACGCCUGCCCGGUGCUGGAAGGUUAAGGGGAAGGCUCAUUCUUGGAAGUUGGAGGUUAGAGGUUAGAAGUUAGCCUAGAAGGAAAUCGCGAAGCGAUUUCCAACAAGGAUCUAAUUUCUAAUUUCCAACUUCCAACUUCCAGGGAGAAGGUCUGAACCGAAGCCCCAGUGAACGGCGGCCGUAACUAUAACGGUCCUAAGGUAGCGAAAUUCCUUGUCGGGUAAGUUCCGACCCGCACGAAAGGCGUAACGACUUGGGCGCUGUCUCGACGAGGGGCCCGGCGAAAUUGUAGUACUCGUGAAGAUGCGAGUUACCCGCGACAAGACGGAAAGACCCCGUGGAGCUUUACUGCAGCCUGACAUUGGAUCUUGGCAUUACAUGUACAGGAUAGGUGGGAGACAGAGAGCCUGGGCCGCCAGGUUCAGGGGAGUCGCCCUUGGGAUACCACUCUUGUAGUGCUGGGGUUCUAACCAUAUACCGUAAUCCGGUAUUGGGACAUUGUCAGGUGGGCAGUUUGACUGGGGCGGUCGCCUCCCAAAGAGUAACGGAGGCGCCCAAAGGUUACCUCAGUGCGGUCGGGAAUCGCGCGUAGAGUGUAAAGGCAGAAGGUAGCCUAACUGUGAGAGAGACAUCUCGAGCAGGGUCGAAAGACGGGCUUAGUGAUCCGGCGGUAUCGAGUGGAAGAGCCGUCGCUCAACGGAUAAAAGCUACCCCGGGGAUAACAGGCUUAUCUCCCCCAAGAGUCCACAUCGACGGGGAGGUUUGGCACCUCGAUGUCGGCUCGUCGCAUCCUGGGGCUGGAGUAGGUCCCAAGGGUUGGGCUGUUCGCCCAUUAAAGCGGUACGCGAGCUGGGUUCAGAACGUCGUGAGACAGUUCGGUCCCUAUCUGUCGCGGGCGUAGGAAACUUGAGGGGAGCUGCCCUUAGUACGAGAGGACCGGGGUGGACGGACCGCUGGUGUACCAGUUGUCCCGCCAGGGGCACAGCUGGGUAGCCAUGUCCGGCAGGGAUAAGCGCUGAAGGCAUCUAAGCGCGAAGCCCCCCCCAAGAUUAGGUUUCCCACUCCUUAGGAGGUAAGACCCCAGGUAGAUUACCUGGUCGAUAGGUCGGAGGUGUAAGUGCAGCAAUGCAUUCAGCUGACCGAUACUAAUAGGUCGAGGGCUUGACCUCC